This 456-nucleotide ribosomal RNA is filed under the name Neisseria sicca. RNAcentral describes it as "bacterial SSU rRNA". It matches the Rfam family "Bacterial small subunit ribosomal RNA", at positions 30 to 486 of the family's 1533-position model. The record is from RNAcentral. Lineage: Bacteria; Pseudomonadati; Pseudomonadota; Betaproteobacteria; Neisseriales; Neisseriaceae.
AUUGAACGCUGGCGGCAUGCUUUACACAUGCAAGUCGGACGGCAGCACAGAGAAGCUUGCUUCUUGGGUGGCGAGUGGCGAACGGGUGAGUAACAUAUCGGAACGUACCGAGCAGUGGGGGAUAACUAAUCGAAAGAUUAGCUAAUACCGCAUAUCUUCUGAGGAAGAAAGCAGGGGACCAUUUGGCCUUGCGCUGUUUGAGCGGCCGAUAUCUGAUUAGCUAGUUGGUGGGGUAAAGGCCUACCAAGGCGACGAUCAGUAGCGGGUCUGAGAGGAUGAUCCGCCACACUGGGACUGAGACACGGCCCAGACUCCUACGGGAGGCAGCAGUGGGGAAUUUUGGACAAUGGGCGCAAGCCUGAUCCAGCCAUGCCGCGUGUCUGAAGAAGGCCUUCGGGUUGUAAAGGACUUUUGUCAGGGAAGAAAAGGGCGGGGUUAAUACCCCUGUCUGAUGAA